GGGGGGUGUGACCCCACGCUUCCUGGGUUGUGUGACCCCACGCUCCCUGGGGGGUAUGAUCCCAUGCUUCCU
RNAcentral lists this microRNA precursor (72 nucleotides) under Chlorocebus sabaeus (green monkey). Its description in RNAcentral is "mir-3689 microRNA precursor family". It matches the Rfam family "mir-3689 microRNA precursor family". The record is from Rfam by way of RNAcentral. Lineage: Eukaryota; Metazoa; Chordata; Mammalia; Primates; Cercopithecidae.